RNAcentral lists this ribosomal RNA (626 nucleotides) under Trichoderma asperellum. RNAcentral describes it as "eukaryotic LSU rRNA". The stretch from base 238 to 391 matches the Rfam family "5.8S ribosomal RNA". Lineage: Eukaryota; Fungi; Ascomycota; Sordariomycetes; Hypocreales; Hypocreaceae. The record is from RNAcentral.
GGAAGUAAAAGUCGUAACAAGGUCUCCGUUGGUGAACCAGCGGAGGGAUCAUUACCGAGUUUACAACUCCCAAACCCAAUGUGAACGUUACCAAACUGUUGCCUCGGCGGGGUCACGCCCCGGGUGCGUCGCAGCCCCGGAACCAGGCGCCCGCCGGAGGAACCAACCAAACUCUUUCUGUAGUCCCCUCGCGGACGUAUUUCUUACAGCUCUGAGCAAAAAUUCAAAAUGAAUCAAAACUUUCAACAGCGGAUCUCUUGGUUCUGGCAUCGAUGAAGAACGCAGCGAAAUGCGAUAAGUAAUGUGAAUUGCAGAAUUCAGUGAAUCAUCGAAUCUUUGAACGCACAUUGCGCCCGCCAGUAUUCUGGCGGGCAUGCCUGUCCGAGCGUCAUUUCAACCCUCGAACCCCUCCGGGGGAUCGGCGUUGGGGAUCGGGACCCCUCACACGGGUGCCGGCCCCGAAAUACAGUGGCGGUCUCGCCGCAGCCUCUCCUGCGCAGUAGUUUGCACAACUCGCACCGGGAGCGCGGCGCGUCCACGUCCGUAAAACACCCAACUUUCUGAAAUGUUGACCUCGGAUCAGGUAGGAAUACCCGCUGAACUUAAGCAUAUCAAUAAGCGGAGGA